RNAcentral lists this ribosomal RNA (2864 nucleotides) under soil metagenome. RNAcentral describes it as "bacterial LSU rRNA". It matches the Rfam family "Bacterial large subunit ribosomal RNA". The record is from RNAcentral.
AGAGUGCACGGUGGAUGCCUUGGCACUAGGAGCCGAUGAAGGACGCGACGAACAGCGAAAUGCUGCGGGGAGAUGUAAGUAAUCUAAGAUCCGCAGGUAUCCGAAUGAGGAAACUCACUAGCUUGAAGAGCUAGUACCAUAUGGUGAAUACAUAGCCAUAUAGGAGGAAGACCCAGAGAAUUGAAACAUCUUAGUAUCUGGAGGAAAAGAAAGCAAUUAGCGAUUCCCUAAGUAGAGGCGAUUGAACGGGGAGCAGCCCGUUACCAUUAGGAGUUACAAAAUUUUAAUAUAGUCGAACUAGCUUGGAAAACUAGACGAAACAAGGUGAAAGUCCUGUAGACGAAAUAUUAAGAUCUCCGGUAACAAAGAGUAGGGCGGGGCACGUGGAAUCCUGUCUGAAUAUGCGAGGACCAUCUCGUAAGGCUAAAUACUACCUAGUGACCGAUAGUGAACCAGUACUGUGAAGGAAAGGUGAAAAGAACCCCUGGCGGGGAGUGAAAAGAACCUGAAACCGUGUACUUACAAUUAGUCAAAGCCCGUUAAUGGGUGAUGGCGUGCCUUUUGUAGAAUGAACCGGCGAGUUACGAUAAUUUGCAAGGUUAAGCUUUAAGGAGCGGAGCCGUAGCGAAAGCGAGUCUUAAUAGGGCGAACAUAUAGUAGAUUGUCGUAGACCCGAAACCGGGUGAUCUAGCCAUGUGCAGGUUGAAGCUUGGGUAAAACCAGGUGGAGGACCGAACCAGGGUCUGUUGCAAUAGACUUGGAUGACGUGUGGCUAGGGGUGAAAUUCCAAUCGAACCCGGAUAUAGCUGGUUCUCCCCGAAAUAGCUUUAGGGCUAGCGUUGUAAUGAAAGUUUUUUGAAGGUAGAGCUCUGAAUGUGUGAGGGCCUCACCUCGAGGUACCAAGCUCAAUUAAACUUCGAAUGUCAUAAAACAUGUACAGCAGUCAGACUGUGAGUGAUAAGGCCCAUAGUCAAAAGGGAAACAGCCCAGACCGCCAGUUAAGGUCCCGAAAUCUAUGCUAAGUGGGAAAGGAUGUGGAGUCGUAUAAACAACUAGGAGGUUGGCUUAGAAGCAGCCACCCUUUAAAGAGUGCGUAAUAGCUCACUAGUCGAAUGAUUCUGCGCCGAAAAUGUAUCGGGGCUAAGCAUAGUACCGAAACUGCGGAACAAGCCGUGUGGCUUGUUGGUAGGGGAGCGUACUUAGUGCAUUGAAGGUAGACCGGAAGGACUACUGGAGCGCUAAGCAGUGAGAAUGCCGGUGUGAGUAACGAAAAGAUAGGUGAGAAUCCUAUCCGUCGAAAGCCUAAGGUUUCCAGAGGAAGGUUCGUCCUCUCUGGGUAAGUCGGGUCCUAAGGUGAGGCUGACAAGCGUAGCCGAUGGACAACAGGUUGAUAUUCCUGUACCACCUAAUUAACUGAUGGAAUGACGAAGAAGGCUAACUGGAGCUACUUAGUGGAUUGUAGUUUAAGCAUAAAGGUGGGUAUGUAGGUAAAUCCGCAUACUAUUAAACAUUGAAAUGUGAUGACGUAAGUCUGGUGAAGCCAAACUUCCAAGAAAAGUUUCUAAGGCUAAUUAAUUAGGUGCCCGUACCGCAAACGGACACACGUAGGCGAGGAGAGAAUCCAAAGACGCGCGAGAUAACUCUUGUUAAGGAACUCUGCAAAAUUACCCCGUAACUUCGGAAUAAGGGGGACUCUUUAGCGAUAAAGAGUCGCAGAUAAUAGGCCCAAGCGACUGUUUACCAAAAACACAGGUCUCUGCUAAACCGUAAGGUGAAGUAUAGGGGCUGACGCCUGCCCAGUGCUGGAAGGUUAAGAGGAGAUGUUAGCGACGCAAGUUGCGAAGCUUUGAAUUGAAGCCCCAGUAAACGGCGGCCGUAACUAUAACGGUCCUAAGGUAGCGAAAUUCCUUGUCGGGUAAGUUCCGACCCGCACGAAAGGCGUAACGAUUUGGGCGCUGUCUCAACUCGAGACUCGGUGAAAUCAUACUACCUGUGAAGAUGCAGGUUACCCGCGACUAGACGGAAAGACCCCAUGGAGCUUCACUGCAACUUGAUAUUGAUAUUGGGUAUUGGAUGUACAGGAUAGGUGGGAGACGUUGAUGUUGGGACGCUAGUCUCAGCGGAGUCACCGUUGGGAUACCACCCUUCUAAUACUUAGUAUCUAACUAGUAGCCAGGAAUCGGGCUAGAGGACAGUGUCAGGCGGGCAGUUUGACUGGGGCGGUCGCCUCCUAAAGAGUAACGGAGGCGCCCAAAGGUUCGCUCAGAAUGGUUGGAAAUCAUUCGUAGAGUGUAAAGGCAGAAGCGAGCUUGACUGUGAGACCUACAAGUCGAACAGGAACGAAAGUUGGGCUUAGUGAACCGGCUGUGCUGAAUGGAAAGGCAGUCGAUCAACGGAUAAAAGCUACCCUGGGGAUAACAGGCUGAUCUCCCCCAAGAGUUCACAUCGACGGGGAGGUUUGGCACCUCGAUGUCGGCUCAUCGCAUCCUGGGGCUGGAGCAGGUCCCAAGGGUUGGGCUGUUCGCCCAUUAAAGCGGUACGUGAGCUGGGUUCAGAACGUCGCGAGACAGUUCGGUCCCUAUCUGUCGUGGGCGCUGGAAAUUUGAGAGGAGCUACUCCUAGUACGAGAGGACCGGAGUGGACGCACCGCUGGCGUACCAGUUGGCUUGCCAGAGCCACAGCUGGGUAACUAUGUGCGGACGGGAUAAACGCUGAAAGCAUCUAAGCGUGAAGCCCCCCUCAAGAUGAGAUUUCCCAUUCGAAAGAAGUAAGAUCCCUCAUAGAUGAUGAGGUUGAUAGGUCAGGUGUGUAAGCAUGGUGACAUGUUGAGCUGACUGAUACUAAUAGAUCGAGGACUUAACCUU